This 1483-nucleotide long non-coding RNA is filed under the name Helianthus annuus (common sunflower). RNAcentral's name for it is "hypothetical non coding rna". The record is from RNAcentral. Lineage: Eukaryota; Viridiplantae; Streptophyta; Magnoliopsida; Asterales; Asteraceae.
UUGCAGCUUUUUUUAUAGUUUAGGGUGUGCAGACAAAGGACCAAUGGGAAAGUUAAAUUGCUUUCACACAGCAUACAUGUAAAAAUAGCAUUAUUUAAAAAAAAAAAAGUGUUCACAAAACACAUGUUGCCGCAAAAAGAAAUGAUAUUCUGGUUGGUAGAAAGUGUUCAAUUCACUGUUCUGUGUGAAACUAAGUGGUUCCAUGUUCGGUUUUGCAAGUAAUACGUUGUUAAAACAAAAUCACAAUGAUUCCAAACGUUUAUCUCUGUUGUUAAUUCUUAAAGUGCAAAUCUCUACGGCUCUACCUAUUAUUUGACAUGGCAAAUUAGGGAAAGGGUCAAAACUCAAAACUGGCUAUGUCCAAGUGGACGGCAGGUCAAAGUGGGGAUGUUGUAUUGUAUUAGAUUCAUUGGAGGCUGGGCUUGGGCUAAGGCGUAUAAACAAGUUGGACUUGGGCUCUUAAUCAGCGUUUUGUUCGGUUAUCUUAGAGGUGCACAUAUCAGGUUUAUUUAAUACCCGGGUAGAGCUGCACAAAAAAACCGGUUCCUACCCUACCUGACCCGUGGGUACAUACCAGGUCCAGACCCGGGGUUGGAAAAAGAACCGAACCGGAUCUGACCCAGUGGAACUGAAACCGGUUCCACCUCUACCCGGCCAAACUGAUCAAAAGCCUGAACGUACCUGGAACCGGUUCCUACCCGACCCGGUUCUUGACUUUGUUGACCAAACCCGAAACCGGUUCCUAACCCGGUUCUUGAAAAAACCCCAUUUUGUGCCUAUGUUGUCAAAAGCGAGCUAGGGGGUAUUUAUAUGGUGGGGUAGUUGGUAGGUGAAUGGUCUUAAAUGCCCUCACGUGCGAAGCACGUGAUCAGAACUAACUUAAUUUUCUAACUGGGUUUGGGGUAAAGGAUGAAACGUGCAACAUGUUUUUAAAAUAAAGGAUUGUGGCUGUAAUUAUUGAAGUUAAAAGGCUAUCUACUGCAACCCGCUACAAACAACAUAAAGGACGAAAAGUGUAGUUUACCCAAAGGAGAAUCAUAUGCUAGAUAAAAUUUCCAUAACAACUGGAUAAUGUUACUCCUCAAAUAGUAAAUACUUAGUUGCAUGUUGUUUUUGCCUAAACCUCCAAACAGAGCCCUAAAAAGCAUAAUCAUACAAGUAGCACCCAAACAGAGUGAUGAUUACUUGAAAUAAAACACAUAAUAAUAAUGAGUAAACAGUAGCUAAACCAAAGCAAUUACCCAAAAUAUUAGAAGAAUUAGGGCGAAGAAUUCUCAAAUCCCUAUCAAAAACCGCAAAUUACCUGAGCAGAUCGGUGUGUAUCCUUGAUGCGUAAUGACGAAACAAAAUCUAUUUCAAUGAACACGAUCCUGACCCGUAAUCAAAACAAAGGACCAAUUUAUGAUUGAAAGAGAGAGCGGUUGAUGAUUGAUAAUUACAGAGCACCAGUUGUCGUGAGGCUAAUUUAGGUCAGAAAACAACU